This 86-nucleotide transfer RNA is filed under the name Methanosarcina horonobensis HB-1 = JCM 15518. RNAcentral's name for it is "tRNA-Leu (CAA) (tRNA-Leu-CAA-2-1)". It matches the Rfam family "tRNA". From Rfam's summary of the family: Transfer RNA (tRNA) molecules are approximately 80 nucleotides in length. The record is from RNAcentral. Lineage: Archaea; Methanobacteriati; Methanobacteriota; Methanomicrobia; Methanosarcinales; Methanosarcinaceae.
ACGGGAGUAACCAAGUGGUUAACGGUGUGCGACUCAAAAUCUUAUUGCGCAGGCGUUAAGGGAUUAGAAUUCCUUCUCCCGCACCA